GACGAACGCUGGCGGCGUGCUUAACACAUGCAAGUCGAACGGAAAGGCCCUGCUUUUGUGGGGUGCUCGAGUGGCGAACGGGUGAGUAACACGUGAGUAACCUGCCCUUGUCUUUGGGAUAACUUCAGGAAACUGGGGCUAAUACCGGAUAGGAGCUCCUGCUGCAUGGUGGGGGUUGGAGAAUUUCGGCGGUUGGGGCUGGACUCGCGGCUUAUCAGCUUGUUGGUGGGGUAGUGGCUUUCCAAGGCUUUGACGGGUAGCCGGCCUGAGAGGGGUACCGGCCACAUGGGGACUGAGAGACGGCCCAGACUCCUACGGGAGGCAGCAGUGGGGAAUAUUGCACAAUGGGCGGAAGCCUGAUGCAGAAACGCCGCGUGCGGGAUGACGGCCUUCGAGUUGUAAACAGCUGUCGACGGAGACGAAGCGUGAGUGACGGUAAUGGGUAAAGAAGCAACGGCUAACUACGUG
Molecule: ribosomal RNA, 468 nt
Filed under: uncultured bacterium
Lineage: Bacteria
Description: partial 16S ribosomal RNA
Rfam family: Bacterial small subunit ribosomal RNA
Source: RNAcentral